This 3245-nucleotide long non-coding RNA is filed under the name Ananas comosus (pineapple). RNAcentral's name for it is "long non-coding RNA (ACOM_LNC036842)". Lineage: Eukaryota; Viridiplantae; Streptophyta; Magnoliopsida; Poales; Bromeliaceae. The record is from RNAcentral.
AAUGUUGUUCCGAUUUUGGUUCUUGUGAACGUUGACAUCGAUUCGUUCCAAAUUUACACGCUCGGGGCGUAAUAGAACAAUAUAAUUAGGCUUUACUCUUUAUUCGAUUGAAAGAGAAAAAGUACUCGUUGCAAAGUUUUACUGUUAGGGCGGAACUAAGUAAUCUAAUGUUGCUUCGGUUUUGGUUCUUGAACGUUGACAUCGAUUCGUUCCAAAUUUACACUCCCUGGGCAUAAUAGAACAAUAUAAUUAGGUUUUACGCUUUGUUCGAUAGAAUGAGAAAAAGUACUCAUUGCAAAGUUAUACUGCUAGGGCGCGACUGGGUAGUCUAAGGUUGUUCCGGCUUUUGUUCUUUUGAACGUUGACAUCGAUUCGUUCCAAAUUUACACUCUCGCGGCAUAAUAGAACAAUAUAAUUAGGUUUUACGCUUUGUUAGAUAGAAUGAGAAAAGUACUCGUUGCAAAGUUAUACUGUUUGGGCGCAACUGAGUAUUCUAAUGUUGUUCCUGUUUUGGUUAUUGUGAACGUUGACAUCGAUUCGUUCCAAAUUUACACUCUCAAGGAAUAAUAGAACAAUAUAAUUAGGUUUUACGCUUUCUUCGAUAAAAUGAGAAAAAGUACUCGUUGCAAAGUUAUACUGUUAGGGUGCAACUGAGUAGUCUAGUUUUGUUCCGAUUUUGGUUUUUGUGAACGUUGACAAUGAUUCGUUCCAAAUUUACUCUCUCGGGGCAUAAUAGAACAAUAUAAUUAGGUUUUACUCUUUGUUUGAUAGAAUGAGAAAAAGUACUCGUUGCAAAGUUAUACUGUUAGGGCGCAACUGAGUAGUCUAAUGUUCUUCCGGUUUUUGUUCUUCUGAACAUUGACAUCGAUUCGUUCCAAAUUUACACUCUCGAGGCAUAAUAAAACGAUAUAAUUAGGUUUUACUUUUUGUUCGAUAGAAUGAGAAAAAGUACUCGUUGCAAAGUUAUACUGUUAGGGCGCAACUGAGUAGUCUAAUGUUGUUCUGGUUUUCGUUCUUGUGAACGUUGACAUCGAUUUGUUCAAAAUUUACACUCUCGGGGCAUAAUAGAGCUAUAUUAAUUAAGGUUUUAACCUAUUCUUCGAUAAAUUGUGAAAAAGGUGCUCGUAUGCAUAAAGUUUAUACUGUUAGGGUGCAACCGAGUAGAAUAGUUUGCUUCCGGAUUUAUGUUGUUUGUGAACGUCGACAAUGUGUCGUUCCAAAUUUAUAGCCUCGUGGGGCAUAAUAGAACAAUAUAAUUAGGGUUUUACUCUUUGUUUUGAUAGAAAUGAGAAAAAGUACUGCGUUGCAAAGUUAUACUGUUAAAGGGAAACUGAGUAGUCUAAUGUAUCUGCCGGUUUUUGUUCUUUCUGGAACAGUUUUCAUCGAUUCGUUCCAAAUUUACAACUCUCGAGGCAUAAUAAAACGAUAUAAUUAGGUUUUACUUUUUGUUCGAUAGAAUGAGAAAAAGUACUCGUUGCAAAGUUAUACUGUUAGGGCGCAACUGAGUAGUCUAAUGUUGUUCUGGUUUUCGUUCUUGUGAACGUUGACAUCGAUUUGUUCAAAAUUUACACUCUCGGGGCAUAAUAGAACUAUAUAAUUAGGUUUUACUCUUUGUUCGAUAGAUUGAGAAAAAGUACUCGUUGCAAAGUUAUACUGUUAGGGCGCAACUGAGUAGUCUAAUGUUGUUCCGAUUUUGGUUCUUGUGAACGUCGAAGAUUCGUUCCAAAUUUACACUCGCGGGGCAUAAUAGAACUAUAUAAUUAGGUUUUACUUUUUGUUCGAUAGAAUGAGAAAAAGUACUCGUCGCAAGUUAUACUGUUAGGGCACAACAGAGUAGUCUAAUGUAGUUCUGGUUUUCGUUCUUGUGAACGUUUACAUCGAUUCGUUCCAAAUUUACACUUUCGGGGCAUAAUAGAACAAUAUAAUUAGGUUUUACUCUUUGUUCGAUAGAAUGAGAAAAAGUACUCAUUGCAAAGUUAUACUGUUAGGGCGCUACUGAGUAGUCUAAUUUUGUUCCUGUUUUUGUUCUUGUGAACGUUGACAUCGAUUCGUUCCAAAUUUACACUGUCGGGUAAUAAUAGAACAAUAUAAUUAGGUUUUACUCUUCGUUCGAUAGAAUAAGAAAAAGUACUCGUUGCAAAAUUAUACUGUUAGGGCGCAACAGAGUAGACUAAUGUUGUUCCGAUUUUGGUUCUUUUAAACAUUGACAUUGAUUCGUUCCAAAUUUACACUCUCGGGGUAUAAUAGAAUGAUAUAAUUAGGUUUUACUCUUUGUUCGAUAGAAUGAGAAAAAGUACUCGUUGCAAAGUUAUACUGUUAGGGUGCAACUGAGUAGUCUAAUUUUUUUCCUGUUUUUGUUCUUGUGAACGUUGACAUCGAUUCGUUUAAAAUUUACACUCUUGGGGCAUAAUAAAAUAAUAUAAUUAGGUUUUACUCUUUGUUCGUUUGAAUGAGAAAAAGUACUCGUUGCAAAGUUAUACUAUUAGGGCGCAACUGAGUAGUCUAAUGUUGUUCCGAUUUCGGUUCUUGUGAACGUAGACAUCGAUUCGUUCCAAAUUUACACACUCGGGGCAUAAUAGAACAAUAUAAUUAGGUUUUACUCAUUGUUCGAUAGAAUGAGAAAAGGUACUCGUUGCAAAUUUAUACUGUUAGAGCGCAACUUAGUAGUCUAAUGUUGUUUCGGUUUUGGUUCUUGUGAACGUUUACAUCGAUUCGUUCGAAAUUUACGCUCUCGGAGCAUAAUAGAGCAAUAUAAUUAGAUUUUACUCUUUGUUCGAUAGAAUGAGAAAAAGUACUCGUUGCAAAGUUAUACUGUUUGGGCACAACUGAGUAUUCUAAUGUUGUUCCGGUUUUAGUUCUUGUGAACAUUGACAUCGAUUCGUUCCAAAUUUACACUCUCAGGGCAUAAUAGAACAAUAUAAUUAGGUUUUACUCUUUGUUCGAUAGAAUGAGAAAAAGUACUCAUUGCAAAGUUAUACUGUUAGGGCGCAACUGACUAGUCUAAUGUUGUACCGGUUUUGGUUCUUGUGAACGUUGACAUCGAUUCGUUUCAAAUUUACACUCUCGAGGCAUAAUAGAGCAAUAUAAUUAGGUUUAAUUUUUGUUCGAUAGAAUGAGAAAAAGUACUCGUUGCAAAGUUAUACUGUUAGGGCGCAACUGAGUAGUCAAAUUUUGUUCCGAUUUUGGUUCUUGUGAACGUUGAAGAUUCGUUCCAAAUUUACACUCGCGGGGCUUAAUAGAACUAU